This 970-nucleotide long non-coding RNA is filed under the name Olea europaea (common olive). RNAcentral's name for it is "long non-coding RNA (OEUR_LNC004688)". The record is from RNAcentral. Lineage: Eukaryota; Viridiplantae; Streptophyta; Magnoliopsida; Lamiales; Oleaceae.
AACAGCUCGAUUCCCCCCCUCUCUCCAGAAGGGCAAGUUGACCCCCAGCCCCAAUUAAACUUCAAACAGAGGUUAAUCCAACAUUUGCUGGAUUUGAGCUUAAUUUCAUCGAAUUAAUGACUGAUAAGCCUACUUUAAAAGAAAAAAAUCAACAAAGAUUAUGCAUAUUUACAUAUAUGAUUUCACAAGUAAAUAAAAUCAACACCAUUCAUCCAGUCCAACCGCAUUGAUGUUUGAAUCUUCUACUCCUAUCAAAGUUAGUUCAGUCAAAUUUAAGAUCUUUCAAGUUCCUAAGAAACUUAAAUCAGAAAACUGAGGCAGACUAACAUACAACUGACCGUAAUUUCAAAAUAUUCAUGUUAAUAUACAAUAAAAAUAAAAUAUACCUUCCAAGAAUACCGUGAACCAUAAUAACCAGAUGAUCAACAGAAGAAUCAUCAGGCUGUUUACAGCUAUACACAUCCUCCCCUCCAUCCUCCGUUCCCGAUGAAAACACAAAGCCUUCUUUUCCUUCGUUUUCCAUUUCUUCACCUUCGAUUAACUAAAUUAAUUUAUUCUAAUUUAUUAAUAUUAACUUCAUCGACUUCCCAUUUACUCAAAAACUAUACGAAAUUCAAAACAAAAAAGGAAUAAUUUAAUAUUACAAUUUAUGAAAUCAAAUUUAUUUUGUAUCAAAUUGGAGUUAUGAGAUAAUGAGCGUAGAGUGGCUGAAAGAUGAUCAGAAUAGAAAGAGAGAGAGAGCUGUGACGAGAGUGUGUGAACUUGGCAAUACAUGAAUACCUUUUCAACGUUUGUUGUACCUUUGCUUUUACAGUUUGUACAGUGGCGAAUUUUAUGCAUGCGCAGAAUCGGGUCGAGUUUGGAAUUUGGACCAGUUCAUGGGUCGGCUAGUGUUGUCGGAUAAUGUAAUGUUAUCCAUAAUUUUCCAAGAAGAAAAUAAAGAAAAAGGAGGUAAGAAAUUGGUUUAGCG